RNAcentral lists this ribosomal RNA (444 nucleotides) under uncultured bacterium. Its description in RNAcentral is "partial 16S ribosomal RNA". It matches the Rfam family "Bacterial small subunit ribosomal RNA", at positions 354 to 796 of the family's 1533-position model. The record is from RNAcentral.
GUGAGGAAUAUUGGACAAUGGAUGGAAAUCUGAUCCAGCCAUGCCGCGUGCAGGAAGGCGGCCCUAUGGGUUGUAAACUGCUUUUGUACGGGAGCAAUAAGGUCUACGAGUAGAUUGAUGAGAGUACUGUACGAAUAAGCAUCGGCUAACUCCGUGCCAGCAGCCGCGGUAAUACGGAGGAUGCGAGCGUUAUCCGGAUUUAUUGGGUUUAAAGGGUGCGUAGGCUGUUAUGUAAGUCAGUGGUAAAAGGUACAGGCUUAACUUGUAUAUGCCAUUGAAACUGUAUAGCUAGGAUAUGGAUGAAGUGUGCGGAAUGUGUGGUGUAGCGGUGAAAUGCAUAGAUAUCACACAGAACACCGAUAGCGAAGGCAGCACACUAAGGCAAUAUUGACGCUGAGAUGCGAAAGCCAGGGUAGCGAACGGGAUUAGAAACCCUGGUAGUCC